CUCCUCCUCUUGCUCCCCCAGCUCGCCGUCCAGGGCCAUCACACCGCCUCCUCCUCCUCCCCCGCCCCCUCUGGCACCCCCCGCGGGCGGGCCACCCGGGCCACAGCCAGAGCAGGCAUCGGAGAGCUCACGCGGGCCGAGGGCGCGCGACUGGGGAUGCUGGCCCGGGUUCUUUUAAGACGGGUUCUGGACACAAGCGACGGCAGCUUCCGCGACCCCCAUCAGCCCCGCCUCACUCUGGACACCGGGCUGUGAGCUCUGGGACGCGCCCAACUUGGAAAGCGUCUUGCUUGCCCAGCGCGCGCUACUUCUCGGACGAGCACCCGGCGGCGGGGCACAUGCUGCCCCCGCCCCUGCGCGCCUGCGGCUCCCGGCUCUCCCUCCCCUGCGCCGCGCUCUCGCCUCGCUUUCCGCGGGAGCCUUCCAACCGGUUCUCGGCUAGGGAGAAGGACGGGAGCGGUGGGAAGAGCGAGGGUGUAGAGAGGGAAGUUAGGGCUUUCGCUUUCUCCCCCCACUCCAGCGGCGGCGUUCGGUCCUCUGGGUGGAAUGUGCUCGCAGCAGCAGUGACGGCGGCCACAGCACGGGAGGCACCCGAGCCAUACACCCUGCAGCUGGAGAGAAAAGGAUGGCCGAGGUGGGAGAGACUAGAGUGAACCAGCAGGAGGAAGUCCCAGGGCCGCGAAGCUACGACGGAGAUCCGUCCUGGAAAAGCCUUCUCCACCCUGGGCACUUUAAGCGGCGGUGGCGGCAAACGGCAGGAGGUUGCAGACCCGACAGCGAGACUCCCUCAUUCCAGUCUUGCUCUGCCCUCCGGAGAUGACAAGUGAGAAAGAAGUGUCCGGCCGGGCCAUCCCCUUCAGAGAAGCAACCACUUCACAAGAAGAUUCUGAAGUUGGCCAUUUUUGAUCCCAGAACAGUUUCUCAUAGAUUAGAAAUAUUGGAGUCUACACAAAAAUCGAUAUUCAUUUACAAGAUCAUCACUAAACUUAUCUUGCAUAACGUAAGUGGCAAGCUCUGACUUGUGAUUUUUUCAUAAGAAAAAUGUUUUUUAACUUAGUAUCAUUUCUACAACAAUGUCCCAUGAUAAUUGAUUCUAGGUGAUUUGAAACACUGCUUAGUCCUGUUUUAGAAAAAGCUCCCAUAUCUGAUUUAGUCUCAUAUGCAGCUUACUUCUAACAUCAGAUUGAAUUUGCAUUGAGUUACCUUACUCGGUUUAUUUUUUAAUUAUGUUGCAGUUACAAGGGAAUAAGGAAAAGUCAGUAUAGUGCAUUGAAAUGUCUUUUUUAAUUGAGACACACAAGAAAUGUGUUAUAGGUUCCCAAACAUUCUUCAUGUAUUAGAGAUGUUAUAAUAAUCUUUUGAAUAGCCAAGUGAAAAGGAAUGGUUUCACCUGAACAUGUUAGAAUUUAUUGCUACAUUUUUUGUGUGUUGUGGUGGAGAAAUAAAUUUUUAAAUCGCAUUUAUGGAGUCAUUUCAGAACAAGUAGAAAACAUGUAAUCUGGUCACUUUGAAUGUGUAAGUGUUUGUAUCUGAACUCCUCCUGCCCUAUUAAGAGUGGAAGGUUGUACUAUAUGUUACUCAAAAAGUAAUUUUCCCCGGAUAUGCAAUAAGACCUCAGAUUUGACCUAUAAGCUGAAUGUCAUAAGCUAUCCAUUAGCUAUGCUGGAAGCACACCACCAACAACAAAAAAGUUUUAAGUAUUUUUAUAGGCUUGCUAAAAUCUGAUUAUAGAACCAAGGCAGUCAAAUACCAUGAGUAAGACUGCAGAAACCCUAGAAUUUAACUCCCUAGUUAUUCUUAAUGAGUGAAUCCUGUGCUUUGUGUCUAAAAGCAAUGUAUUGUGCUUUCCAAUUCAGGAAAUGCAUUUUAAUUGCUAUACUCAUUGAUACAUCAAUCUGUCCAUGACAUUCUGACAUAUAUCCAGUUUCCUAUGGAUUCGGUAUAGGAGCAAAUUAAAAGAUGCACUAGAAUGGUAACAUUUAAUCUAUAAUCCUCCAUUUAACCUUUAUGUGGCUGUCACAGAACAAGUCCUGUUUUUAGAGUUGAACCAAAAAACAAACAAAACAAAACAAAACAAAACAAAACAUGCACACACACUAGAGAAACGGCUUUUUUUUUUUUAACCUGGGGACCAUGAAAAAGUUUUGACCAUUCCCCGACCCCCAUGCUUCAACUUUAGCUUUGAUAGUUAAAGUAUGUCUUCCUUCAGUUUAAGUUGAACAAACUUCUGCAUAAGACCCUCCAGAAAACCUCUGAACACAUACAGUUUUGGGGGCAAUGGGGACUGAACUAUGUACAAAUAGGUGAUACUUCAGCACACAAUUCCUGGGAUAAAUUUUAUCCUCUUCUCAUUUUUAUUUUUAUGAACUAUAUGGGGUUUUUUAAACAAGUUACAAGAAGCAAAACACAUUUUACCUUUACUCUGUUACAUAUUUCAAAUUAAGCAGAUCCUAAUUAAUUGGGUUACAUUAUGUAACAAUAGCCUUUUUAAUAUCAAAUGGUUUUUAUGAUCUGUCUUCAAUUUUUCUUAAAAUGAGACUGCACUAAAGAUUUUCUUGACAUUUCUGAGAAUUUCAUUUUCAGUUUCAAAAAAUUAUUUAUUCCUUUAAUCUUUCAAUGUGGAAAAGUAAUGAAUAUUGAUUCAUUUUUAGAAGCGCUAACAUCCAACUAGGUAAACUUCAUGAGUGAUGGCUAUUAAUGUUCUCUUUCAUCUUAUAGACAGAAAAUCAAAGCUAUUUAAAGUAAAGGAUUUGUUUCAAAUCAAUGUAUGUCCACAAAUUAACAUUAAUGUUUACAAUACUUUCUGUGAUAAUUGUGUCUUACUUGGGUGUAUAUAUGUCUUUAUAUCUAUCUGUAAAGAUAUAGUUGCAAGUAGAUGAGAGACGAAUGUUCAUGUUUCUAUAUGGUCUGAAUAAAAGUGUUAUCACUAUGCUAACUUGCAGUGUUAUAAAAUGCACCAAUGGCUCUUUGUGCCACUCCUUCAUUUUCAGUGGUUACCAAGAUAGUCAAAUUAAACUGCUGAUGUGAUAAUCAUCCAAACAUUUAAUUUUAACACUAUGAUUAUAGAAUUUUUUUAUUUCUAUGAGAUUUACCUAUAGUAGCUUUCUGUUUAAUGUUCAAUGUUCUAUAGGAGUUUCCUUUUAAAUGUUCAGAGCAGGAGCUAUACCCUCUAGGAUAUGCAAAUAAUCAAGUCUUAGCCUUUGCCUGCUACUGCCAACCUGAGAGGGGAGCUUCUGCUCUGCAGAUGGAUGGACAGCUGCUGAUCUUCACCUCCUGUCUGUUCCCACAAUUCUAAAAGAAUUAGGCCUGAGGAACUUAAUCUUCUGGUGUUCCAUUGUGAACUGACUUUAUUAAAUUUUUUCCAAAGUUCAGUGUUCUUCAGUUCUUUCUCAGAGUACAAAUUGAAGAGACACAGAGCCAGUUCCAAAUGAACUGAAAUUGUUUUGUAAAAAAUUAAUUCAAACAAUAAUGCCAUGGAAAAGCACUUUGAAUUUUUCAAUUCCCAGGCUAUUGAUUCUAAAAAAGAAACAAUUCUAAAUUAUCCACAUGUUCUCAUUUAUUAGUCUAGAGCUCUUGCCCAAAGAAUUAUUUGCCAAGGUAAUAUAUAGAACAUCAGGAUGAUUUACUUGCUUUUCUAAUACCAUUUUGCCCACAAACUCUAUGGAACUGAAAGCAUGUCAGCAGCAAAAGAAGGUCCACUAGCAGCUAUAAAAGAGAGCUUACUAAUGAACAAUAAAUAUCUAAAAGUAAAGGGAAAGGAGCCAAAUUCCAUUUUCAAAAGCCAAAAUUCUGCAGUAGGUAAAUAUCACAGAUAGCAUUGCUUAUUAUUUAUAAUCACUACUAAGAGUAAUCUAUCAUUUCUUUAAAUCCUCAAAAUAGGUCUCUGCCAGCCACAUUAACUGCCUGCAGAAAAGUUUGUUAUGACUGCCUGGUUUUGUAAAGUCCAGACAACUUUACACUAAGCUGAAUAAUGUUCAUUUACUCAAAAGCUAGUCUAAAAUUGUAGAGUUAAUGAACACUAAACCAAAGUUAGUGCUUUAACUGAAAGAUAAUUUACUGUACCCUUUGGAGUCCAGUCCGGUACCAUCAAGAUCUGGGAAAAUACAACUGGGACCUGGGAGCAACAAUGCCUGAGCAGCAAUGAGCAAGUUUAAUGCCCAGUCUUGAUUUCUAAAUGCUUUCCACUAUAAGAAACAAGAGUUUAUUGAGACUCUGAAAGCAGAACAGGGGAAGAAUAAGGAGCUUUGAACAUGUUGGGCCAGAAGGUAAGAAAGUUCUCAGAAAAACAAUGAGAACAUGACCAAAGGAUCCAGGAGCCACCUUGAAGGAGCUCCUACUGACCAAAUCUGGAACAACUUAAGCAUAUAAAUAAGUAAUGAGAGUAGUGGAUUAUAAUCCACUGCAUAAAGAGGAACCCAUGAAUCCACAAUUAUAUAGUAAGUAAAUAGAUAAAUGGGAAGAAAAUAAAUGGGUAAGAGAUUAUUUCUUAAAUUAGAAUGCCAAGUAAUAAAUACAAAAGGAAUUCAAGCAAGACAUCAAUAAAUACUAAAAUUAGUGGAUGAAAGUGAGAUGAGAAACAGAAUUUUACAGAGUUUCAAAGUAUCUUUCUACAAAAUGUUUAAUUACAAAGGGAGAAAAAGUUAACAUUAUAGUGGAGAAACCUAACAGACACUAUCUGAUGAAGUGAUCAAAGUUAACACUCCCAGUAAUUGGAAAAAUCAGUAUCAUAUGUCACCUAAUCAAAUGCAAUGAGAAAAACACAACAUCACUUCUCUAAAAUUUAUAACCUGGUUAUAAUCAAGAGGAAACAUUGGACAACAGAAAUUUGGAGAACUUCUAUUGAAUAACUGACCUUGGAAAAUGUCAAGGCCAUGAAAGUCAAGUAGAGAUUGCAGAACUCAUUCAGACUAAAAGGAGAUAGAGAGACAUGGCAGACAAUGGAGUGUAACGUCUUCUCCUGAACUGGACCUUUUUACUAUAAAGACAUGAGAACAACUGGCAAAACUUGAAUCGGGUCUCUGGGAGAAGUAUAUUCAGGAGUCCACCAUACUGUUCAUGCAAAUUUAUUAAAUUCAUUCAUGUAAAUUUUCUGUAAGUUUGAAAAUGAAAAAAUAAAACCCACUUUAUUCUUAUUAAUUCUUUUUUUAGGCUCUCACUGUGCAGCUCUAAAGUUAUAUAAGCCAAGAAAGGGACAUUAAUGGGAAAUUAAUGACAGCAUCAAUAAAAUGGAAAAGAAGAUGAACUAAUUACAUAACAUCAACCAAUCAGUUUUUUCAAAACAGGUUUUACUGUUUGGGGUUUGUCUACUCUGUUGGCAUCCUGUAGGCACCAGCUUUGCCUAUUCACAUUUUCCUUUCACGUAGCUUGUGUACCCAUUUUAAACACAGCAAAAGAUACUUUGAGAAUACCUUCUGCACUACUUUUAUCUUUUAUUUUCUUUCCUUUUCUUCUUACCUUCCUUCCUACUCUCCUUUAUUUUUGGAAGCUGCAUUCACCCUACUGGAAGAACCUAUUCUGAACAUAAAGUAAUUUGCCUCAUCCUGCUUAUCCCCAUGACAAAUAGUUUAAGUAGCAUCUGGUGAGACAAGAGAAAAGAGUAACUAUACAUUUACCCUUCUGCACCCUCAUCUUCUACCCAGCUGUCUCUCCUCCCUUUUCCUCUUUAUCAAUAUUUUCCCCUUCUUUGGACCAACUAUUUAAACUGUUCUUAAAAUUUAUUAAAUAGAAGUGGACCUCCAGCAAUUUUUCUUGCUCCUAUAAUCUAAAGUAUUCAAACUCCUCACUUGAAACAUGAAAGAAAAUCAGGAUGUAAACGUUCCCCUUUUUAAACUUUUUUAUUUUCUAAACCAUCUUCCUCUGCAUAAAGUCAGUCUGCCACUCUAAACAGCACUUGUCAGGAAUGUGUGAAGUUAUUAAAAGAGAAGGAACUUUAGAAGAUCUAAAUUCAAAUUACCUUGACUACCAUUCUUUAGUAAUAAAAGGGGAGAUAGAAAGAAGACAGAAACCACCAGAUUUUCUAAAAUCUCCAGCAAUAUUCAUCCAUCUAAAGCAUCUGAGAAACAAUGACCCAAGUUAUAUUGGGAGAGAUAUUUUAGCUCUCUUGCCUGAAUCUAACUCACAGAAACUGGGGAAAUAUCAAAAAUCACUUAUUCUAAAUGUUUCGGUCAAGAAGUGUUUUGGAUUUCAGAUUUUGGAAUAUUUGCAUAUACAUAGUGAGAUAUCUUAGGGGUGGGACCCAAGUCUAAACACAAAAUUCAUUUAUGUUUUAUAUGCCCUUUAAACACCAUAGCCUGAAGUUAAUUUAAUAUAAUAUUUUUAAUAGUUUUGUGCAUGAAACAAAGUUUUGACUGUUUGACUGUAACCCAUUACCUAAAGUCAGGUGUGGAAUUUUCCACUUGUUACCUGGAGUGCAUCAUGUUGGCAUUGAAAUAGUUUUGGAUUUUGGAGCAUCGGAUUUCAGAUUUUUGGAUUAAGGAUGUUCAACCUGUAUUAGAUAGCCUGGUGCUUUUCUCCUCAUAAUCACUCCAAUAAUAAUGAAAGGAUAAUCAUAAAGAUGACAACAAUUACAACAAAGAUGAUAAAAAAAAUUAAGCCACUUGGCAACACUAUUUGUGGCCUCAUGAAAAUGACUCCCAAUGUCAUAAUUCCCUCUGAGAUCCCCACAAUAAAAAACUAUUGGAACUAGAACUGCAUACCGCAGUUAUUGGUCAUUUCACAUGGUGCCAUGUUCAGGCAUAGCUGGUAUGAGUGCUAUUUGCUUUCAUCCAGGGGAGCCAUUCUCAGUAAGCUUCAUCUCUGUGCUGAUGAGAGCCUGGGUCUGUUCUUCUAGCCCAGGAUCUUCACAUCUCUCAAAGGACUGCAGCUCUCCUUAGAUAUUCUGUGUACCACAGGAAGGGGCUGUACCAAUUUACAGCAAUCUCUUUUCAACAUGGUAACUAAUGCAAGUAUUAGACCACAAGGCUUCUCUUUGGAAACUUGUCCAAAGGCUGUCAUCUCUGCUAUUCAUUCAUUCAUUCAUUUAGUCAACAAAUAUUUAUUAAGCAACAAACGUGUGCAAGGCACUGUUCUUGGCAUAGUGAACAAAACAGAUUAAAAUUCUGAUCUUGUGGAACUUGCAUUCUAAUAAGGGAGACAAUUUUUUUUUAAAAUGAAGUAAAAUAGAUAGGGCGAUAGGGAGUGCUGGGCCCAGGAAGAAAGGGUUACAAUACUAAAUAUGAUAGUUAGGGAAGCCCUCAAAUUUGAACAAGGAUCUGCAGGAAGUGAAGUAUGUUGAUAUCUGGGGAAGAGGGAACAACAAAAGCAAAGGAAUUGAUACAGGAAUGUUGCUGGUGUCUGAGAUAUGGCAAGCAGGUCUGGGUGGCCAGAGAGGAGUAAAGUAGGAAAAAAGGAAAAGUAGGUGGGGUUGGAAAAAUAAUGGGGAGCCAAGACUGGGUAAGGUUUUGUAGGCUAUUGUAAGUACUUAGACUUCUACUAAGUGAUGGAAAGCAACUGAUAAAAGUUGACUUUCAAUUGGAAAGAGCCAUGAAAGUUGAUGGAUGGUCAACUUUUGACCUGAGGAAUGACAUGACCUAUUGUAGGUUUUAGAAAAGUCCUUCCGGUAGAUUUAAUGAACAUUCACUGAAAGAUAAAAAAGAGGGUAAUUGAAAUAAUCCAUGCAAGAGAUGAUUGUAGCUUGGAUAAGGAUGGUAGUAGAGGGGUGGUGAGAAGUGGUAAGAGUUUUGCUGAAGGAUUAUACAUGGGUUGUAGGUAAGAAACCUCAAGGUUGAUACCAGGAUGUUUGAUCUGAGCAGCUAGAUGGAUGAAGUUGACAUUUAUCGCAGGACAGUUCCCUGAAUGGCCCUGGACCCACCCAGUUCUCCCCCUUUCUUGUUUACAGUUACCAAGAAUAACUGUAAAAUGUGCUGGGAAUGCAAUGUCCUGAGAUAAGGAAGAACUGCCUGAAACAGCCUGGAUCUUAUUCCUGUACUUCCUAGGGAAUGUAACAUCUCAAGUUAAAGAGGAACUGCCCGGAACAGCCCGGGGAUUGUUCCUCUCUCCUGAGAAGGAAGAUUACCUCCAAAGCUCAUCCACUGAGUCACACUGCCCCUGUGGUGGAGGGCGGGCUGCCUUUCCAGGUUCCUCAGCUGUGGUGUAACUGAAGCAGGCACAAUCAAGACUCCAUCUGCUCGAGGCAGCUUUCUCGAACCUUGGGGAACCUACUCACAAUGGAUCACAGGCUUCUUUUGUUUUGUUUCUUGCUGCCUAUCUGUAAGUAAUUAACUUGCUUCAUGUAACGUGUUGCAUAUGAGUGUGUUCUGUCUCAUAGACUCAGGGAAUUGGUAACACUGCAGCUGAGGACGCAGUGGACAGAAGUGUUCAGACUCCUGUUCCUUGUGGUUGACACAGUGAUGAUGAUCUCUUCUGUCCUCCACAGAGUGGAAGUCCUCUCUUGGGAUUGGUUAUUGGUGAAACCACUUCGCAAUUUAUUAAGAUGGCAAAAGCUUACGGAGGGACAGAUUUGAGGGGAAGAUCAAGAUUUUUCUGUCAGUAUUGCAAAUAGUCAAGAAUAUGUGGUCCAAGAAGUGAUCAUUAUCUUUGGCAUUGUGCAAGUCAUUAGUGACCUUCACAUGAACAGUCUCAGUGGAGUGUUGGAGGAAAAAGCCUAACUGAAGAAGGUUCAAGAGUGAAUGGAAAAAGAGCAGUAGUAUGUGGAGAGUACAGACAAGUAUUUCCAGGAGCCUUUCUGUAAAGAGUGGUAGAGAAUGGGACAUCAUUUUUGGAUGGGGGAAGAGUUAUUUAUAGCAUGUUCAUAUGCUAAUGGAAGUGAUCUACUCAUGGGGAAAAUCUUGAUGAUGCAAGAAAGAAAGGGAUUUGUUGGAAUCUUGUCCUAUAACGGGUGAGAGGGGAUGGGUUCUAGAAGAAAAGGCAUGGGUCUUUGUUUGAGAUCAGGCAAUUCAUCUGUAGGAACCAGUAGGAAGAUGGUUAAGUGGGUACCUGUGGUAGUGGAUGUUUGUGAACAUUCUUUUCUUUUCCAUUGUUUCUAUUUUCUCAAUAAAGUGGGAAGCAAAAAUCAGCUGAGUGAAGAUGAGGAAGAAGGUGUUAAAGGUUUGAAGAAAAAAGGAAAAGGAUAUACUAAUCUAAGAGGACAAGUAAGUAGAACAUAGAUAAUGAAAAUGCUGGCCCUUAGGACUGUUGGGCCUAAAUGCUCAUAUUAUAUUGGUAGUCACAAAUUUGAACUUUCUCUAGAGCCAAUUUUUGCAUGUGUGUGCAGGCCUGGAGUAGUUGGAGAGUUGGAUUUAAUAGAAUUGAGGGUCAAGCAACUACAACCAGGGAAGAGUGGGACAAGGGAGAUAAAGGAUAUUGGCAGGGGAGCAAUUAUAAACAUGGACCAUGAUCAAAACUGGACAGGAAGGAAAAUAGAGAUAAGAGGGGUGGAAGGUUAAAAAUAGUGAAAAUGAGAUAGAAUGAAUAGGUUGUAGGUCCCUGUAAAGUUGAAGAAGUAUUAUUAUGCAGUACUCGUUAUUGAAAUGAGGUCACUAUGCUUAAGGCACAGUGAAUCCUAGAAAAUAGUGGUUUUGUUUCUCAUUAGGCAAUACAUUCCUCCUUGCUCCAGAAUGCAACAUACAUGUAUCCUUUUCUGUACUAUUUUUUAUUAAGAAUUCAUACUUAAUUCCACUGACUGCCACUCAAUUUUAAUGUACAGUAGGGAAUUCCUGUACUAUGUAUUAUGAAUCCAUUCCUUUGAAUUUCAUUUAUAAUACUUCAUGACUGACACCUGGCUUUCCACCAAGACUCAAUUUUCAUAGCAAGCCUCAUCAUCAUAAGCCCCCAAAUUAACAGGAUGAGGAGGAAGAAUUGGCAGGCUAAAGAAGAUGAUUAUAUCAAUUAAUGCAGAAAAAGCAUUUGAUAAAAUCCAAUAUUCAUUUGUAAUUAAAAACUCUCAGCAAGUUAGGGAUAGGAAUUACUUCAACUUAAUGAAGAGUGUCUUUAAAAACCUUAUUUUCAUCAGUUAUAACAAAUGUACCACUCUGGUGGUGAAUGUUGCUAAGGAGGGAAGCUAUACAUGUGUGGGGAAAGGAGAUGUGUGAGCAAUUUCUGUACCUUCUACUCAAUCUUCUGUGAGACUAAAAUUGCUGUAAAAAAUAAAGUUCAUUUUUUUAAAAACCUACAGCUGUCAUUCUUAAUGCUGAAAGACAGAAUGCUUUUCUCUAAGAUAGGGAACAAGGCAAAGAUUCAGUUCUCACCACUCCUAUUCAACACAGCACUACAAGUUCUAGCCACUGAAAUGGGGGUUGGGGGGAAGCAGAAGAAGAAAAGAAAUAAAAUGUAUACAGUUUCAAAAGGAAGAAUUAAAAUAGUCCCUGUGUGCAGAUGACAUGAUUGUCUAUUUAGUAAACCCAUGGAUUAUACAAAAAUAAAAUUCCGAGAACUUAAAAAGUGAUUUCAGCAAGAUCACAGGAUAUAAGAUCGAGAUGAAAACCAAUGUCAUUUCUAUAUACAGUAAGUCCUCUCUCUUAAUAUCAUCAAUAGGUUCUUGGAAACUGACUUUAAGCAAAACAACAUAAAACUAAACCCAAUUUUUCAUCAUCAAAGUUAUAACAAAAUGAUGUUGAACAAAACUACAUUAUUUCAGGACCUGCCAUACAUCAUGUCACUUAAAAUUACAGUUUCUAAGAACCUACCAAUGGCAUUAUGUGAGAAUUACUGUAGUAACAAUAAACGUAUGAAAACCAAAAUUAAAACACAUUUACAAUCAACCCAAGGAAAAUGAAAUAUUGAGGUAUAAACUUAAUGUUUUAUGAGGCAACUUAAUGAGGCAAAAAAAUGUAUACUAUCUGAUGCUGAAAAUUGCAAAUGCUGAUGAAAGAAAUCAGUGAUGACAAAUAAACAGAGAGACAUACUAUAGUCACAAAUUGGAAGACUCAACAUAGUAAAAAUGUCAAUUUGCCUCAAAGUAAUCUGUAGGUAUAAGACAAUUAUCAAAAUUCAGGGAAGUUUUUUGUAGGCAUUGGCUAGCCUAUUCUAAAAUUUAUAUGAAAAGCACAAACCUUAGAAUAUCUAAGAUAAUCUGAAAAGAAGAAUAAAGUGAGAGGAAUCACUCUACCUGAUAUUAAGCUUUAUAAUACAGUAACAGUACUCAAGACUGUGUGGUAUUUGCCAAGGCAUGGACUCAGAUCAAUGGAACAGAAGAGAAAACACAGGAAUAGACCCAUAUAAACAUUUCCAACUGAUUGUUUUCCAAUCGAUUUGUGACAAAAGUGCAGAAGUAAUUCAGUGAAGGAAGGAUAGCCUUGCAACAAGUUGUGCUGAAGCAGUGAGCACCCAUAGGCAAAAAGAAAAAGAGAACAUCAACCUUAACCUCACAUCUUAUACAAAAAUUAAUCCAAAAUUGAUAAUAGACUUAAAUGUAAAAUAUAAAACAUUUCACAAAAAUAGAAGAAAGUCUUCAGGAUCUAGGACUAGGCAAAUAAUUCUUAAAUGAUAUCAAAAGCAUAAUUCAUAAAGGGAAAAGUUGAUAAAUUAGACCUCAUUAAAAUUAAAAACUUAUGGAAAAUGUGCUGUUAAGAGGAUAAAAAAUAUAAGCUACAGACUGAAAGAAAAUAUUUGCAAGCCACAUAACUGACAAAGGACUAGUAUCUAGAAUAUAUAAAGAAUUUUCAAUACUCAGUUGUAAAAACAAAAUAAUUCAACCAGAAAAUUGAUAUGAGCAAACAUGUCACUGAAGAGGAUGUACAGAUGGCAAAAAUGCAUGUAAAAAGAUUUCAACUUCAUAAACCGUUAGGGAAAUGUGAAUUAAGCAACCAAUCAGAAUGGUUAAAAUGUUUAAAAAAUAGUAACACCACCAAAUAUUGGCAAGGAUAUAAAGGAAUCGAAUCACUCAUGCAUUGCUAGUAAAAAAUGUAAAGAGGUACAGCCACACUGGGAAACCUUUUCAUGGUUUUCUAAAAACUAAGCAUGGAGUUACCAUACAUCCCAGCAGUUCUACUCAUCAGCAUUUAUCCCAGAGAAAUAAAAAUUUAUGUUUACACUAAAACCUAUAUAUGAAUGUUCAUAAUAGCAUUUUUCAUAGUAGCCAAAAAUUGGAACCGUCUCAGGUGUCCUACCAUGGGUGAAUGGUUAAACAAACUAUGGUGCAUCUAUAUCUACCAUGAAGUAGAACUCAGCAAUAAAAAGGAAUGAACUAUUCAUACACCUUAUAACUUGGAUGCAUCUCCAGGUAAUUGUGCUGAGUGAAAAAAAAAAAAAAAAGCCCCAAUUCCAAAAGGUUAUAUACUCUAUGAUUCUACUUCUGCAAUGUUUAUUAAAUGAUAAAAUUACAGAAGUGGGAAAAUGAUUAGUGGUUUCCAGGGGGUAUAUACAGUAAGGGUGAGAGGGCCGGAAGAGUGCAGUUUUAUAAGGGCAACAUAAGGGACCCUUAUGGUGAUGGGACUGUUCUGUAUCUUGACUCUGUUGGUAGUCACAUGAAUCUACACAUGAUAAAAUUGCAUAGAAUUAAACAUAUAUACACACUCAAAUGAAUGCAUGUAAAACCGGUAAAAUCUGAAUAAGGUAAAUGGAUCAUAAUCAAUGUCAAUUUUCCAUUUGUGAUAUUAUACUAUAGUUAUGUAAGAUGAUGUUAGCAUUGGGAGAAACUGGGUGAUGGAUAUACAGAAUCUUUCUGUAUUAUUUCUUGUAAUUGCAUAUGUAUCUCAAUGGUCUCAAAAUAAAAAGUUAAAUAAAUAAGAGAGACCAAAAAGUGGCUUUCCAGUGGAGAACUGAGAUAAUCUGAGCAUCUUAUGCUCUAAAUAAAGUAUGCAAUAAAAAUAAAAUAUAUAUAUAUAUAUAUAUAUAUAUCUGUAAGUCAUAUUGAAAGUUACACACCAUUUUGGGGAAAAGUCAAGUAAAAACAGCAGUAUACACUAUUAGCUUUAACAUUAGGCUUUGAGACUAUCUCUGGCCUUUUCUCUGGCCAAAGGGAAAGAAAUCCUCAGAUCUACUCUGAAGCCUUUCUUAGACUGAGAAGCCUCUGAUAGCAUUUCAAAGCAGCUUAGUGCCAAACAUUCUUUGAGCAUCCAGUAAGAGUCUGUUUGCAACUUAAUAGAAAGAUUUUUUAAGUUGCCUUUUGACUAUACACAAUGAGUUCUCUUUUUAUCUGGUUCCUGAUUACUCUCUGACCUUUAUCAUACAAAGAAAGAUCUUUCAGCCUAUUCCAAUCUGUACUAAAAUUCAGAUAAGAGGAAGCAUCCUCAAAGCUGGAUUAUCUGACUCUGAAGCCAGCGUGAUCCUCCUACUGCCUUCAGCAGCUUUUCGUAGUGUUCAGCCAGAACUGACAUUUCUACAUUCUACACUGCCAGCCUUUAAUGACCUCUCUCAUCUCCAAACUUCUAUAACAAUUAUUACCUAUACUAUGCAAUAAAAAACACUCAUUUUAAGUAUAAGUUUAAUGCCAUGUUGACAAAUGAAUUCAGCCCUGUGUGACCAUUGUCAUAAUCAAGUAACAGAACAUUUCCAUCACCCUAAAAAGUUCCCUUGGCCUCUUGCUCUUUUCCCCAGCCCCAGGCAACCAUUAUUUUGCUUUUUAUCACUAUAGUUUUGUCUGUUCUAGAAUUUUACUUAAGUGAAAGCAAAAGUGAAUAUUCUUUUGUCAUCUGGCUUCUUUAAAUUCUUCAGCAUAAUUUUUUAUAUUUAUGCAGUUCUUCUUAUCAGUUUAUUUUUAUUGGUGAGUAGUAGUCUUUUGUUAUAUAAGUUAUAUAAGUGGUAUUAUAUUUUGUUUAUUCAUUUACCUGUUCUUGGAUGUUGAGUCACCGCAAGUUUUGGACUAUUACAAAUAAAGCUGAUAUGAAUAUUCAUGUAUGAGUCUUUGUAUGCCAUCAUAUGCUUUCAUUUCUCUUGGGUAAAUAACUAGAAGUGGAAUGACUGGAUCUAAUGGUAAGUGUAUAUUUGUUUAAUAUACACUUUAUAAAUACUCGAGCAUUUAUAAAGUAUUUUACAUUCCCAUCAACAACACAUGAGAGUUAGCAUUCUUGCUAACACUUGCUUAUUCUUUUUAUUGUAGCCAUUCUGGUGUGUGUAUAGUUAUCUAUCAUAUGGUUCUAAAUUACAUUUUCCUGAUGACUAAUAAUGUUGCACAUCUUUGUAUGUGCUUACCAGCUUCCAUAUGUCUUUUUAUUUUUUGAGAGUUCUCACUAUAUUUCCCAGGCUGAUCUGAAACUCCAGGGCUCAACCAACCCUCCUGCUUCAGUCUCCAGAGUAACUGGGAUUACAGGUACAUACCACCAUGCCCAGCUCAUAUAUUUUCUUUUGUGAAGUUAUGCUAAAAUCUUCUGCUUAUUUUUAAUUGGGUUGUUUCUCUUCUUAUGACUGAGUUUAUAUAUUAUGGAUAAAAUUCUUUGUCAGGUACACAGAUUAUUAAAAAUUACCUCCCAAUUCAUGGCUUACUUUUUGUUUUGCUUACGAAUGUCUUUGAAAAUCAAUGUUUUCAUUUUAAUAAGAUCCAAUUUAUCAUUUUUUUUAAGUUUUGCUAUUAGCCAUUUUGUCUUCUAUGAAAAUUUUGCCUACCCCAACGUCAUGAAGAUUUUCUCCUAUGCUUUUGUCUAGAUGUGUUAUAGUUACAUCAUUUAUAUUUAGUGCUAGGAUGCAUUCUAAAUUUCUUUUGAUUCAAAAAUAAUAAUAAAAACCAGAGCUCAACACCCUUUGUCUCCAUUAAUAUGAAACUUAUUUUAAGUGAACCUGUUAGAGGAUCUAUGUUUUAUUUUAAAAAACAAAGAAUUACCAACAAUGUAAUAAAUAAGAACAUUAAGAUCUAUCAAUGAGGGUUUCAAAUAUGUAAACUGUUUAGAUUUUUAGAAAACUGCCUAGAUUUCACAUCUACCAAGGCAAAAGCAUUAACUGUAAGAAUUUGCACCUUAAUUGUGCGCUCUUCAAGAAUUCCACCUCUGGUUCUGUCUUUGCUCUUGAAAUUCUCACAGCUCAAUAGGUUUUGCAUAGAAGACAUGAGAACAGGAGGGCUCAAUAGCAAUUCUCCCCUUUUCCUGUAGUCAAGAGUUAGAAGAACCAUUACACAAUCAGUAAAUUCUAAACCUUCUGCAUUUGUUCUCCUUCCUCUUCUCUGAUGUUCUAUUUUCAGUGAUUUAUCCUCUGAAAUGGGUUAGUCUCAGAAAAUGUAAGAGGGAAUUUCACAAUCAGGAAAAGCAUUUGUAAUAUUGAUUCUUUUUAAAAUGUAUGUGAAAACACAUAUGAAUAAGCACUUCGCUUUUUUUUUUUUUUUUUUUUUUGAGACAGAGUCUCGCUUUGUUGCCCAGGCUGGAGUGCAGUGGCGCGAUCUCGGCUCACUGCAACCUCCGCCUCCCGAGUUGAAGCAAUUCUCCUGCCUCAGCCCCCU
RNAcentral lists this long non-coding RNA (15340 nucleotides) under Homo sapiens (human). RNAcentral describes it as "non-protein coding TRHDE-AS1:22". The record is from RNAcentral. Lineage: Eukaryota; Metazoa; Chordata; Mammalia; Primates; Hominidae.